AGUAUGCUUGGUUUGGCGCUACAGUCGACGAGAUAUGCAACACCAUGAAGAAUGGUUUUGAUCGCCAGAUUAAUGACAAUAGUGGAUUAUAUGGCUGUGGCAUCUAUCUUUCUCCGGAUGAUUCUCUUCUUCAAACUGUGAAGAAUUCGAGGGUUGACAAGGAUGGUUUAGGCCAUUUGUUGUUGUGCCGUGUUAUACUGGGUGCUACAGAGGUUGUGCUUCCUGGUUCUGAGCAGUGUCAUCCGAGUUCUGAGGAGUUUGA
RNAcentral lists this unclassified non-coding RNA (262 nucleotides) under Hevea brasiliensis (rubber tree). The record is from RNAcentral. Lineage: Eukaryota; Viridiplantae; Streptophyta; Magnoliopsida; Malpighiales; Euphorbiaceae.